Molecule: ribosomal RNA, 331 nt
Filed under: uncultured bacterium
Lineage: Bacteria
Description: bacterial SSU rRNA
Rfam family: Bacterial small subunit ribosomal RNA
Source: RNAcentral
CUUGUAGGUGGCCAACUAAGUCGGACGUGAAAUCCCUCGGCUUAACCGGGGAACGGCAUCCGAUACUGGAUGGCUUGAGUUUGGGAGAGGGAUGCGGAAUUCCAGGUGUAGCGGUGAAAUGCGUAGAUAUCUGGAGGAACACCGGUGGCGAAGGCGGCAUCCUGGACCAAUACUGACACUGAAAAGCGAAAGCCAGGGGAGCAAACGGGAUUAGAUACCCCGGUAGUCCUGGCCCUAAACGAUGAAUGCUUGGUGUGACGGGUAUCGAUCCCUGUCGUGCCGAAGCUAACGCAUUAAGCAUUCCGCCUGGGGAUACGGUCGCAAGGCUGAA